GGGGAUAUAGCUCAGUGGUAGGGUGCUGGAUUAACAAGCGUGAGGUCCUGGGUUCGAUCCCCAGUGCCAGCA
RNAcentral lists this transfer RNA (72 nucleotides) under Rattus norvegicus (Norway rat). It matches the Rfam family "tRNA". Rfam says of the family: Transfer RNA (tRNA) molecules are approximately 80 nucleotides in length. Their secondary structure includes four short double-helical elements and three loops (D, anti-codon, and T loops). The record is from Rfam by way of RNAcentral. Lineage: Eukaryota; Metazoa; Chordata; Mammalia; Rodentia; Muridae.